CGACUAAAAAAUUAGAUCUCCCGCAAUAAUCUCUGAAUUCAAUAAAAUCAGGCAAACAAGCAGCGAGAAGGGAUGAUGAUGCAUGAGUGCUUGUCCCAAAGAUGAGAAUUCAUUAAAAGUAAUCCCAGUUCUUACAGAGACUUAGCAAAUGAAAAAUAAAAAAUAAUUAUCCAAGUAAGAGCAAUAAAAUCAAUGACCAAUGUGAAGCCUUAGCUAGAUCUAGUCCUCUUGAUUGUACGUAGCAAAUUCAAUUAGAGUGGAGUGAGAGCAACAAAUCUGCGACGAGGUGGUGGACUGAUGCAUGAAAUGAAUAAGAAUAGAACAGCAAUAAUAACAACAGCUACCCAGUAUAGUCCCACAAAGUGGGCUCUGAGAAGGGUAAUAUGUAGACGAGCCUUACCCCUACCCGAAAGGGCAGAAAGACUGUUUCCAAUAAGAGCUAUAAAAAAUGGACUGACAUCCAAACCGUUGCCUCCAUCCACCUCAGUGCACACCAUCUUUCCCAUUUUCGAAUUGAUCAAAAUAUAGUUCGACAACUGAUGGUUAGAAGGGUAAAAUCGCUUUUUCCAAUCAAAUUAAAGCUACACUACUGCAGUGUGCAGAGCAAGCAAUUCUUUAUAAUUAUGUAGGAGGCUGAAUUUUCAUAUAUUGUAUUCGUCAUUUGUAGACUUUUUUCUUUGUUAAGUUGGAAA
Molecule: long non-coding RNA, 692 nt
Filed under: Nicotiana benthamiana
Lineage: Eukaryota; Viridiplantae; Streptophyta; Magnoliopsida; Solanales; Solanaceae
Description: long non-coding RNA (NBEN_LNC016524)
Source: RNAcentral